CAGAUUGAAACCUUCCAGUAGGAGCAAAGGGACAAGCAAAAAGGCUUUGCUUAAUAUGAUAGCAGAAGAGUUGUCCUACUUGGCAGCCCUUGCUUCUGGAAGGCGUUUGCUAAUUGCUCAGACAUUGGAGACCGCGAUUAAAGAUGACCCAGGCUCACAGUUAGGGGCAAGGAGUGUGCGAUUCCAUGGGAAUUCUCCGAAGAGCCACGGAACCUAAGGUAUGGAGCUUCCCCUGAAGAACAAAUCAGAGCUUGCUCUGUACAUUACGGUCUUCAGGAGUUUUCUGGAAUAUUGAGAGGUCAAGUGACUUGUCAAGGAUCACACAGAUAGUAUGUAUAUCAAAUGUGCUUGACCAAACAAGUCUUCCUGAUUCCAAAACCAGUUCUCUACCCACUAUUCCAACAAGAACCUUUUGAGGUUAGUAGGGUCACAAAAUAUGACAGGAAUAUUCAAAGGAAUGCAAGAGGAAGAAAGUGCUCAUAAAUGGGGAGAUCUGGAAGGCUUCAUGGAGGGGUUGGCAUCUGAGUAGUGGUGAGAAGAGAAUGCAAUCUUGACAUAGGAGGCCAAAAAAGAAAGAGCUAUGGACUCUGAGUUGAGAAGACCUGUCUACAUUCAAACCCUGUGUGACUCUGGAAAUCUUCAUCCAAGUUGGCAUGAAGCUGGCAAGUCAUGAACUUUUGACCGGAGCUCGGAUUGCUGGGAGACACAUCCUCCUCGUUAGUUUCGGGUGACAGCUCACUGUACCAGAGAACUAACUCAUAGAGAAAGAGAGAAGAGGGGGAGGACGAUUUGCCACUGCAUUUUCACAGGGCAAGAAAUUCCACCCAGCUCAAAUGUGUGUUUGGCCUAUUGCCUGAGGCCUUGUUGAACACAUGACUAUCACUCUUCUGCCUAUUUCUGGCCCGGAUUUGGGCCCUGGUGGCUAAGCAAACCCCAGUAGUGGCUAAAAUUAGGCAGUCAAGUUGUGACAACAUAUGCUCGUCUCCAACAAAAGGAGAGAUGUCUAUUUAAAAGAAAGAGAAAGAAGCUAGACUUGCUCAAGGGUCAAUGUCAGUCUCAUAUAACUGACCAGUUUCUGUUUCUAUUAUUCAGAUAACAGCUGAGGAGCCCUUUGAGAUCAACCCACCAAAAUAGACCACUUCCUGCCUACCCACCAUCUUGAAAUGUCUAACAUUACUGUUCCAGCCCAAAUUUGCACUUACUAUUGCAAACAAGGUAGCCCAGUUAGAUAAGAUGAUAGAAAAUAUCUUUAAUGUCAUGAAUUUCAGGGUUAUUCUCAUAGAAUAAGUGAAAAGUCAUAGAUAGAUAUAGAUAUAGAUAUAGAUAUAGAUAUAGAUAUAGAUAUAGAUAUAGAUAUAUGGACUCACCAAUUCCAUUAAUAUUUCAGAAGACGUUGGGGCUGGAGCUACUUUCCCAUCAAUAUGUGAGAAAUGUGUUUGGAGGUCAUGAGGAUCAUGAUGUAGGAUUACAAACUCAUAGAUUUGGAUCCAGAUGGGAUUUUAGAGUCCAACUAUUUCAAUUCCCUGUAGAUUAUCCUUCUGUUGACAUGAAAAGUCAUUAUUGCCUCAAGAUUUAAAAUUUUCUAGAAAGGAGAUUUUAUGCAAUGAUAAUAAUGUUCUUUGUUGAUACUUAUAUGGCAUUUUAAGGAUUGCAAAACACUUUAAAAAUAUUUUCUUCUUUUAUCCUCAGGACAAUUCUAGGAAAUAAGUGGUAUUCUUUCCCCCAUUUUAUAGAAGAGGAAAUUGAGGAAAACAGAGGUUAAAGACAGAGGCUAGAUUUGAACUCAGGUCUUCCCAAUUCUAAAUAGAAUGUUCUACACAUUGAAUAAAAUUUCUUUUCAUAAAGAAAAUAGAUACCUUGUUCAAGUUAGAAUCAUUGAGUCUGGGGUUUAGUGGGCUACCCGUUUAACAUAAGUUAACAAUAAGUUUUUUGACUUUGUCAUUCCCUUAAGAUAUCAUAAUAUAGAUGGUAGAGUCAAAAUGGUGGUGUAGAGGCAGCAAAAGUUCAGACCUCUAAAAACCCUUCCUUACUGAUUAAAAACCAAAUGCUCCUAGGGAACUGAAAAUCAAAUCUAACAACAGGACAGAGCCAAGGAAUCCUCCUGCUGGACUCAACUUAAAAGGUACACUCUCCAAAAGCCUGAAUUUGAGAACACUUGGGUUUAAGGGGAAGCAAGAAGGAAGGUCCCAGGACCCCUCCCCCUGAGCCUCUAGCAGUGGCUGGAAUCUCUGGGCAGGCAAGGGCACUAGUCUGGAGGGAACAUCUUACAGGCAAAGCUGUGCCAGGCUCAGGGCAUAGAAUACAGGUGGUGGGGAAGCAGCUAGAUAAGAAGCACAGAGCAGGUAGCCUCCUUGCAGCUGAGACACUCCAUAUUGCCCCCUCCCUUCCCAAUAUUUUAGUCUCAGGGCACAUCCAGAUCUGCAAGUUCAACUAUGCUGGGCUUAAUUUUAUCAAGCCUUCGGAGCACAGGGAAGGUCAAGCUCCAACAACCCUCCCCCAUAGAUUGCUCUGAUUGCCUUGCUAAGUUCCAAAGGUGAAGGUUGACAGAAAUGUCCAAACCCACAGAUCCAACACAUAAUGAGAGGACCAAGAGUGCAGGCAACUACAGGGGGAAAAGAAGGGGAAAAUAUGAGCAAACAAUAGAAAAAGGAAAAAGAAAAAAGAAAUUACAAUCAACAACUUCUAUCCAGGCAAUGAACAAAGAGCAAAUAUAACAGAGGAAGAUUAAAGAAUAUCAAGAAAAAACACAGAUACUCCAUCGAACUGGACACAGCCUCUAGAAGAAAUCAAAAUACAAUUCAAAACACAAUUAAGAGAGGUUGAAGACAACUGGGAAAAGAACUUAAAAAGCAAGAUAACUCAUCUGGAAACAGAAAAUAGUGUCUUGAAAGCCAAAAUCAAUCAGCUUGAAAAUGAGGCAAAGGAGAUGAAAGAUGAAGCAAAGAAAAUGAAAGCUGAGGCAAAGAAGAUAAAAGAUGACCUCCAAAGAAAAUCAGACCAGUAGGAGAAGGAUGACCAAAAAGCCAGGGAUGAAAUUCAGUCUUUAAAAACCAUAAUACAACAAUUGGAAGCAAGCAGCUUCACAAGGCACCAGGAAACGAUAAAACAAAAUCAAAACAAUGAAAAAUUUGAGGAAAAUAUAAAACAUCUCAUUCACAAGACAGAAGAUAUAGAAAAUCAUUCCAGGAGAGACAACAUAAGAAUCAUUGGUCUAUCGAAAGACCAUGACAAAAGAAAAAGCCUGGACAUCAUCCUACAGGAAAUUAUCUAAGAAAACUUCUCCAAAAUUCUAGAGCAAGAGGGAAAAGUGGAGAUUGAAAGAAUCCACAAAUCACCUCCUGUACUUAAUCCCCAACUGACAACACCCAGGAAUGUCAUAGCGAAAUUCAAGAACUAUCAGACCAAAGAAAGAAUAUUACAAGCUGCUAAGAAGGAGUCAUUCAGAUACCAUGGAACUACAGUGAGGAUAACACAGGAUCUGGCUGCAUCUACACUGAAGGACUGAAAGGCAUGGAAUAUGAUAUUCGGGAAAGGAAGGGAACUAGGUCUACAACCAAAAAUCAACUACCCAGCAAAACUGACUAUAUAUUCUUAUAGGAAAAAGUAUGGUUAUUUAAUAAAGUAGAAGAAUUCCAAGCAUUUGAAAAGAAAAGACCAAACUUGAACAGAAAAUUUGAUGCCCAAACAUAGAACCCAAGAUAAUCAUCAAAAUGUAAUUAAGAAAGGGAGAAAAAAGAAAAACAAAACAAACAAACAAACAAAAAACAACCUUCUUUUAAGGGACCUAAUUAGUUAAAAUGAAAUUUAUCCCUAUAAGAAAAGAGGAUAUUGGUAACUCUUAAAAAUUGUUAUUAUCCCCUGGGUAGCUAGAAGAAUUACACGUAGAGGGAACACUGACAAACUGUAUAGGAUAAA
Non-coding RNA from Monodelphis domestica (gray short-tailed opossum), 3915 nucleotides. The record is from RefSeq and is a predicted model, not a curated record. NCBI's taxonomy places the organism in Eukaryota, Metazoa, Chordata, Mammalia, Didelphimorphia, Didelphidae.